This 398-nucleotide ribosomal RNA is filed under the name uncultured bacterium. RNAcentral describes it as "bacterial SSU rRNA". It matches the Rfam family "Bacterial small subunit ribosomal RNA", at positions 360 to 772 of the family's 1533-position model. The record is from RNAcentral.
AAUCUUGCACAAUGGGGGCAACCCUGAUGCAGCGACGCCGCGUGGGCGAGGAAGGUCUUCGGAUCGUAAAGCCCUUUUCUGCGUGACGAGGACAAGGACGGUAGCGCAGGAAGAAGCGUCGGCUAACUACGUGCCAGCAGCCGCGGUAAAACGUAGGACGCAAGCGUUAUCCGGAGUAACUGGGCGUAAAGGGCGUGCAGGCGGCUGCUCAAGUGGCUCGUGAAAGCCCCCGGCUCAACCGGGGGAGGUCGGGUCAGACUGAGGAGCUAGAGACAGUCAGAGGGACACGGAAUUCCGGGUGUAGUGGUGAAAUGCGUAGAGAUCCGGAGGAACACCAGUGGCGCAGGCGGUGUCCUGGGGCUGAACUGACGCUGAGACGCGAAAGCAUGGGGAGCGAA